UUAUGUCCUAGCUUUCCUAAUAUAUGUCUUGUUUACCAACAAAUCCUUGUCUUAGAUGUAGAGGAAUAAAUGAUUCUGGUUUUGGAGAAGUGAUGAUGAUGAAAAUGGAGGAACAAAUGGUUCUGGUUUUGGAGAAUUGAUGAUGAAGAAAAUGAAGGUGGUCACCACGACGAUGAUAAUAAUGAUUCGUUCUCUUUGUUCUGUGAUAUAUACUAAUAUUAUAGGUUGGGAUAACGUAGUUGAUGUAGAACCAGGGAGAAGAGAGUUUAACCAGGCGUGAGGCGCUUCGCUUGGCGCCUCAUACAACACAGAUCUUCUAUACAUGUAAUUUUGUUCUGUUGUAUCUAGAGACGCAAUACUUCCAUGAUCAUGCAACUUUCACAGUAGUUGUUGGCCUGAACCAGCAGUGCGAGCAAGUGAAUGCUCCUGAUCCAAUUAUCAACACUUGCAGUGACUUUUACAAAUUCUGGCAGGCAACCCAUGAUUUGCACGAGGCCAUAAAUCUCUGUUAUGCAGCAUCGAUAGCAACUAAUCCUAUGGAAGAUAAUCUUGGUGAUAACUUAGAGUUUCUGUGCUUAUGGAAUGUUAUGACGUACUGAGAUUCUCCAUGGAAAGUGGUGCCAAGGGUUGCAAGGUUCUGUUCAUGUCCUGGUUACUUUGGGGAUUAUACCAUUGUGAGAGGCAUGGUAGUCUCAAUGGUAGAGAAGUGUCUUAGGGCUGUGGUAACAGGCAAGAGGGUUGAAGAAGCAUUUGAAGAGGAUCAAUGCGCUUAAGCAUUGCAUGCUUGGCAAGCUUGGUGGUGCCUUUAUAAGUCCUGCUGGAAUCCUCCGUUGUGCUCAAGGAUGUGUUUUGCUUGACAGAGACGGGGUUCGCAGAAAAGAAAAGCUACACAUUUAUUACAAUUUAUUCUCAAACUCAAAGAAGUAGCUGAAGAUAUUUAGAAGGUUGUUGCUGCCUAUGACCGCAAAAUUGCUUAUGGUGUGCUCAGCCAUCAGCUGAAGCAGUUUGUGGUAGAUGAGAACAAGGUUGUACUCAUUAUUCCAGGUCCCGAUACCAGAUUCAAUGAUGCUGAAUUUCAAGAAAUAUAGCUAGCUUGGACAUGUGUUGUUCUGAACUAAGAAUUUCAUUCUUAUGUGUAAUUUAAACCCAAUGAAUGAAAGAAUGGAAGUUGAAUUCUCAAUUGGAGUUUAAAUUUGAGUUAAAUUUGAAUUUCAGUUUGA
This is a long non-coding RNA of Papaver somniferum (opium poppy), 1220 nucleotides long. RefSeq lists it as uncharacterized. The record is from RefSeq and is a predicted model, not a curated record. Lineage: Eukaryota; Viridiplantae; Streptophyta; Magnoliopsida; Ranunculales; Papaveraceae. The transcript is spliced from 8 exons.